Molecule: long non-coding RNA, 1052 nt
Filed under: Equus asinus (donkey)
Lineage: Eukaryota; Metazoa; Chordata; Mammalia; Perissodactyla; Equidae
Description: lncRNA (ENSEASG00005029472.1)
Source: RNAcentral
CGGGCCGCCAAGAAGCGGAAGAUGCCUGGCCUGAAUGUAAACUUCCCAACAAACUUGCUGGUAAGUCUUAAACUUAUAAAUACAGUGAAACUAUUCAACUACCAUUUACCAAACUUAAAUCAUACAUUUUAGCUAAAAAUCAUAACCCUAAAAUCAAUUUUUAAAGACUUUUUUUAUUUUGAAAUUAUUUUAGAUUAACAGAAAAAGUUGCAAUGUGGAUGAAUCUUGAAAACAUGCUAAGUGAAAGAAGCCAGACACAAGAGCCAUAUAUUUGUACGAUUCCAUUUAUGUGAAAUGUCUUGAACAGCCAAAUCCAGAGUCAGAAAGAUUAGUGGUCCCCAGGGUCUGGGGGAAGGAGGGAACCGGGAGUGACAGCUAAUGAGUACAGGGUUUCCUUUUGGCGGUGAUUAAAAUGUCCUGGAAUUAGAGAAUGGUGAUAGUUUCACAACCCUGCGAAAAUACUAAAAACCACUGAAUUGUACACUAAAACGGUGAAUUUUAUGGUAUAUGAAUUAUAUCUCAAUAUUUAAAAAAUCAUUUACAUAGAAAAAAACAGUAGAGAGUUCACCGUACCCUUCACCAGCUCCCCCUAAUGUUAAUUUAUGUAAGAGUAGUGCCGUUAUCGAAAGCGGUUAAUUAACAUUGAGACAAUACAAGUAACUGAACUGCGGACCUUAUUCAAUUUUUGCCAGCUUUUCCAGUAAUGGUCAUUUUCUGUUUCUGGACCCAAUUCUGGACGGCUGCUCUUAGCUGUCGUGUCUCCCUGGUCUCCUCCAAUCUGUGACAGUUCCUCAGACUUCUCUUGUCUUCCCUCCCUUGUCUUGACACUUCGAUGAGUACUGGUCAAGUAGUUUGUAUAAUGCUUUUCAAUUGGAUUUGUCUGCGUUUUCUUGUGAUUAAGUUGAGGUUAUGUAUUUUUGGCUUGAAACCGCAGAAGUGACGUUGUGCCUUCUACAGUCCAUCAUGUCGACAUAUCUUAUUACUGGUAUCUGGGAUCAUGUGGUUAUGAUGGGGUCUUCUGAGUUUUUGCAUUGUAACCUUAAGACUUUUCC